AUUUAACAGGGGCAGGACCCCAAACAUCCGAAUGUAUUAUUUGAAAUGGAGAAGAACUUUUAUGUUCCACAGAAACCAAAGGAAUACGAGAAAGUUUCCCUAACAAACAACUAGAACAAGGCUUUAAAUUACUUGAAGAACUAGAAAGUAAAUUUGAUUUAACUAAAGCAGAUAACUUGUCACGAUUCGGAUGACCUAAACGGACAUGCCAAUCAUCCAUGGUGGGUACUGUAGCAGUCAUGGCUUGUUUUGAAAAUCUUAAUGCAUACACUCCAUCUUCACUGGGUCCUUGCAUCAGUACCUUCCUCGUGCGUUGGUCCUUCACAGCAAAAAAAGUAGGCCAAAACUCAAAAAAACAGGAAUUAUCAUUGGUAAAUUUUUGAACAGAUAGUAAAGGUUUAAUAAUUUGAGGAACAUGAAGGACAUUAAACAAACGAAAGGAACCAGAUGCAGAAGGAAGAGUUGCGUUACCAGUAUGAGCAAUCUGUAAACCAUUACCAUUACCUACUUGCAGAUUAUCAUUGCCAUUAUAAUCACUAUAUGUGCUCAGUGAUUGCAAAUCUGGAGUAAUAUGAUAAUUAGCAGCAGUGUCUGGAUACCAUGUUUGCGGUUGCUGCGGUAGAAGAGAUGGAGCCGCAACAUAAUUUGCCUGAGGAUUAAAAGGUCGAGCCUGAUAAGGACGAGGCUGACUUUGAACAAACUGCCCCGAUUGUCCAGAAUAAUUCCGUUGAAAACGCCGACGACAAACAUUGGCAGUAUGGUUUCUGCCAUUACAGAUUUGAUAAGGUCCCCUUGGCCUAUUACCUCCAGAUUGAUUAUUACGAUUACCACCAUUAUUACGAUUCCGAUUUGUUGCAUCUGAUGUAUUAGAGAAAGGAGAAGCAGAGGAGUUUCGAACAACCAUAUUUGCUUGUGGAUAUGAGAGACUUUGAAGAAGAACUUCAUGUGCAACCAACUGACCAUGUAAUUCAUAAAAGGAGACAGGUUCUGGCCUGAUAUUUAAAGAUGUAAUAAUGGAAUGGUAAUCAGCUCCAAUGUUGCGAUAAAUGAUAGCAUUAAAUUCGGCAGGGGAGAGAGGUUUCCCGGCAGCAGAAAGCUCAUCAGCCAAGGCUUUGGCUUUGUUGAGAAAUUGAGAAACAGUUAAAUCAUCUUUCUUGAGAGAUUGAAGUUCAAUAUGUAAUUGCAGUUGUCGAUUUUGGGAUAAAGCACCAAAGGAUUGUUCUAAUGCUUUCCAAACCUCUCGAGAAGAGUUAAGACCAAUCACAUACGGGAAAAUUUCUUCCGUAAGCGACGCAAAAAUCCAAGAUAGUAACAUUUGGUCUUUGCGAAACCAGAUAUCAUAGUCUGGAUUGGGUUCCAUAAUUAAAGGAUCAGCAGCAGAAGGCUUUGUAGAUGGUGGUGCUGGCACAGUACCAUCAAUGAUUCCUUGAAGAUUUUGAUAGUUUAGAAUUGGGCGAAAUUGUGUCUUCCAAGCUAAAUAAUUCUUGGGGGUUAAUUUGACUGAAAAAGAAUGAUUUGUAGUAGAUACGAGAGAGGUAGGUAAUGAUGGGAUAGAAGGAGUCAAGGAAGGUGUAGUAGAUAUGACAGAUGUAGGUAAUGAUGGGAUAGGAGGAGUCAAGGAAGGUGUAUUGGCCAUGGCUCUGAUACCAUGUAAA
This 1655-nucleotide unclassified non-coding RNA is filed under the name Hevea brasiliensis (rubber tree). Lineage: Eukaryota; Viridiplantae; Streptophyta; Magnoliopsida; Malpighiales; Euphorbiaceae. The record is from RNAcentral.